UACGUAGGCAGCAAGCGUUGUUCGGAGUUACUGGGCGUAAAGGGUGCGUAGGCGGCUUCUUAAGUCUGGUGUGAAAUCUCCCGGCUCAACUGGGAGGGUGCGCCGGAUACUGAGGGGCUAGAGUGUGGGAGAGGAAAGUGGAAUUCCUGGUGUAGCGGUGAAAUGCGUAGAUAUCAGGAGGAACACCGGUGGUGUAAACGGCUGUCUGGACCAUAACUGACGCUGAGGCACGAAAGCGUGGGUAGCAAACAGG
RNAcentral lists this ribosomal RNA (253 nucleotides) under uncultured bacterium. RNAcentral describes it as "partial 16S ribosomal RNA". It matches the Rfam family "Bacterial small subunit ribosomal RNA", at positions 524 to 776 of the family's 1533-position model. The record is from RNAcentral.